GGCCGCGGGAAUUCGAUUAGAGUUUGAUCCUGGCUCAGAUUGAACGCUGGCGGCAUGCUUUACACAUGCAAGUCGAGCGGCAGCGCGGGGCAACCUGGCGGCGAGCGGCGAACGGGUGAGGAAUACAUCGGAACGUGUCCCGUAGUGGGGGAUAGCCCGGCGAAAGCCGGAUUAAUACCGCAUAUGCUCUACGGAGGAAAGCCGGGGAUCCGCAAGGACCUGGCGCUAUGGGGGCGGCCGAUGUCCGAUUAGCUAGUUGGUGGGGUAAAGGCCUACCAAGGCGACGAUCGGUAGCUGGUCUGAGAGGAUGAUCAGCCACACUGGGACUGAGACACGGCCCAGACUCCUACGGGAGGCAGCAGUGGGGAAUUUUGGACAAUGGGGGCAACCCUGAUCCAGCCAUGCCGCGUGCGGGAAGAAGGCCUUCGGGUUGUAAACCGCUUUUAGCCGGGAAGAAAAGGCAGAGACUAAUACUCUUUGUUCUUGACGGUACCGGCGGAAUAAGCACCGGCUAACUACGUGCCAGCAGCCGCGGUAAUACGUAGGGUGCGAGCGUUAAUCGGAAUUACUGGGCGUAAAGCGUGCGCAGGCGGUUUGUUAAGUUCGUCGUGAAAGCCCCGGGCUCCACCUGGGAACUGCGAUGGAAACUGGCAAGCUUGAGUGUGGCAGAGGGGGGUGGAAUUCCGCGUGUAGCAGUGAAAUGCGUAAAGAUGCGGAGGAACACCGAUGGCGAAGGCAGCCCCUGGGCCACCAGUGACGCUCAGGCCGGAAAGCGUGGGGAGCAAAAGGGAAUAUAUACCUUGGUAUCCCCCCCAUUAAGGAAGGGGCCUAAACGUUAAAGG
Molecule: ribosomal RNA, 842 nt
Filed under: uncultured Acidobacteriota bacterium
Lineage: Bacteria; Pseudomonadati; Acidobacteriota
Description: uncultured Acidobacteria bacterium partial 16S ribosomal RNA
Rfam family: Bacterial small subunit ribosomal RNA
Source: RNAcentral